Molecule: long non-coding RNA, 1712 nt
Organism: Syngnathus acus (greater pipefish)
Lineage: Eukaryota; Metazoa; Chordata; Actinopteri; Syngnathiformes; Syngnathidae
Exons: 2
Source: RefSeq, a predicted model, not a curated record
GAAGCAGGAAGUGAGAAAUAAUUGGAUUUGUUUUUGGCUUUGGUAUCAUGGUAUUAGAGCACUUUUCCUAUGCUUGGUGCUCAAUUUAGGAGAAAUUACAUCUUUCUUUGUGCCUGAACUGGGAAAAAAUUCGUUUUGAGUGGACAUAAUUGGUAGAAUUGGAUUCCAACUAGCCAAUCGGAAGAGAGGGGUCUGUCCGGACCAGCCAAUAGAGCGUCAUGUGAGCAAAUGAUUUGUUUUUGUGCAGAGCAAACAUGUGCUUAGUGAUGCAGGAAGAAGAACAUGCGGCUUGUGAUAAGAAGUGAUUAGAGGAAAUAAUAGUAUGUUAUUAACUCUAACCUUAAAAUAUGUUUUUGUUGUGUUUUGCACAAAUUACAUCCACUAAGACCCCCCCCCCCCCCCCCAACCCACUUUGCUUACAUAACUGCGUAACUUGCACCACAUGGGCGUUUUAAUGGGCACGCUUAGUUUCAACCAGCAGCACGUGACGGGGAUAAAUAAGGAACACAUUCCACCGCGUCUAGUCAAACAAGAACUCACUCCAUCUCCUUUUUCUCGGCCUCCUCCUGCGUUAGGUCCUCCUCCACGCUGUAGUCUAGCACGGCACCCACGCCGAACGCCUGGUUCUUCUGGAUCAGCGGCUUGAUGGCGUUGUGGUCCUCGCCCGCCACAAACUGACCGUAGAAGGUCAUCUUCAUCAUCUUCUCAAAGAGCCACUUACCCAGCACCUUCUUGCUCAGAUCCAUCAACUGUAAAUAUGUAACAAUGUUUACAAAUAUGCUUUCCAUUAUAAGUUAGUCACAUAUUGCGCAACAUGUUAUGCAUGAGUCUGUUCUUGUUGACAAUGUUUGCCAUAUGGGUGCAACCACUGUUCCUGCUGGGAUUUGAACAGUAGAAACACGUGCAUGUUCAAACAAAGGAAACUGAACAACAAAGUGGUCAAGUUUAAAAAAAAUCAAAGCCAAGUCAAACUUAUCUUUACAAUAACAUGUUCUAUCUUAUUGGAAAUUAAAAUAUAUAAAUGAAUACAUGAUAUAUUUAAAUUAUUAGUCAUUUGAAAAUGCAUAGUAGAAACAAUCACUCAAAUUAAUGAUAGUAACAUUAUUUAACUAAGUUAACUAGUCAGAUUCAUGUAAAGUGAAUUUUUUUAAAUAUUUCAUUUGAAUAAAUCAUUGAUAUAAUUAAAUUAUCAAGUUUUUCAUUUUUAUUUAAUCCAUUAAAUGGCAACAAUAAAUCAAAUGAUUUAGUUUAGUGAAAAUAUAAUUCUUAUUACAAUAAUAGAAUUAAAUUGUUGUGUAGGCUACUAAUAAUAUCCUAAAUAAAAUCCUUAUUUCUUAGCUAAAUGGUUGAUUCGUGAUAAAAAAAAAAAAAAAGGUGCGACUGCCUAACCUCCUUGUUCUUCUCCACCAACAUGUCCACGGUGCAUAGCUUGAAAACCAGCAGACUCCUGAGCAGCUCCGCGUUGUCUUUACUUUUGUAAGCUUCUUCUGUGUUGUUGAAGUCCACGCUGAUUUUGCUUUGCGGCUGCCCGCCUUGGAAACUCCUGCCCGGGCUGAUGAGCUCCACGGGCUCAGCCUCCACCACGGCGCAUCGUCCGUCCACCAUCUGCUGCUGCUGCUGGUGCUGUUCCUUCUCUUGGGUGGACGCCGCCGUGGACCUGCACCUCGUGGCCGAGAGGCAGCGCAGCUUGCCAGCCUUGUUGGCCCGGACGA